GACGAACGCUGGCGGCGUGCUUAACACAUGCAAGUCGAACGGAAAGGCCCUGCUUUUGUGGGGUGCUCGAGUGGCGAACGGGUGAGUAACACGUGAGUAACCUGCCCUUGACUUUGGGAUAACUUCAGGAAACUGGGGCUAAUACCGGAUAGGAGCUCCUGCUGCAUGGUGGGGGUUGGAAAGUUUCGGCGGUUGGGGAUGGACUCGCGGCUUAUCAGCUUGUUGGUGGGGUAGUGGCUUACCAAGGCUUUGACGGGUAGCCGGCCUGAGAGGGUUACCGGCCACAUGGGGACUGAGAUACGGCCCAGACUCCUACGGGAGGCAGCAGGGGGGAAUAUUGCACAAUGGGCGGAAGCCUGAUGCAGCAACGCCGCGUGCGGGAUGACGGCCUUCGGGUUGUAAACCGCUUUCGCCUGUGACGAAGCGUGAGUGACGGUAAUGGGUAAAGAAGCACCGGCUAGCUACGUG
This 468-nucleotide ribosomal RNA is filed under the name uncultured bacterium. RNAcentral describes it as "partial 16S ribosomal RNA". It matches the Rfam family "Bacterial small subunit ribosomal RNA", at positions 28 to 507 of the family's 1533-position model. The record is from RNAcentral.